Long non-coding RNA from Myodes glareolus (Bank vole), 1501 nucleotides. RefSeq lists it as uncharacterized. The record is from RefSeq and is a predicted model, not a curated record. NCBI's taxonomy places the organism in Eukaryota, Metazoa, Chordata, Mammalia, Rodentia, Cricetidae.
UGUGGUUUUUACCAUGUGGACAGUGGCCUGUUAUUAAAUGUCGCUGGGUUGAAUUUUCAAGUCAAGCCUGGGCUUUGAAUAAGGACCCACUAGAAAAACAAGAUUCUGAAGACUGGAAGGAGACCAGUCAGGGGACUGUGCAGUGGUCCAGCUCACACAGGUCUGAAAGGAAGAGCAGGAUACAUCCAAAGGAUCAGUGGAGUCACGACAGGCAGGACAUCCUUACCUGGGGAAGUCUUAGUGAAACUUGCUGGCUGCUAACUGGAGGAAUGGAUGUCCCUGCUCCACUGGUGGUCUUGGCUAUGUGAUUCAUUUUCAGUGGAAUGGUGGACUGUAUAGAAGUUGGAAGAGGAAGUGGGGAAUCGUGAAGAAGUAGCUCUAGCUGGUGAUUCACAGUACAGCAUACAAUCAAAAUGGAUGCGAUCUUGCUGCGGCUGUUAGGUGACUGAAGGCUACAUGGUUCUCUGAGUUGCAGUUCAGCAGAACAUCACCUGACUGGCUUCCUUUGUAUACGGAGGUUUAGUUUUGUGUCUUUUUCUUUUUGGGGGAUGGAUGGGUGAUGGUGCCAACAGAAUGACUAAAAGCUUCUCUCUGAAACUAUGGGGCAAGGGAUGCAAAAAUAAUACCAUGAGUUAUGGUUGUUGUACAUCUGUGCAUUAAGUAUCAUUAACAUAUAACUUGUAAAAUGUCAGCCUCUCCCAUCUUAACUCAGGCAUGAACUUCUGUGCUCAUGGACAGACACAGAGUUAAAGUCUGCUACCCAAAAGCCAAAGCAGGAGUCUUGUGUGUGCUGGGAUGUGUUCUAGGCUAAUGGAAAAUCCAUGGCACCACACAGAAGAACCUGCUAGUUCAUGGGAUCUACUGGAAGCUUUUGCUUCUCCCUCUAAGCAGGAAGAGGGCAACCAUGUCACCUCUGUAAUUCCCUGUGUCCCCUUUCUCUUCUGUUCUCACUGGCUGUAUCUCAGAUCCACUACUGACAAUUACCAGUGAAAUCUCAAUUCAAUGAGGCUUAGUGGUUGCAUUUUAAUAAAUAUCAAAAGUGUACAUUAGCUCUUAUAGGUUCUAUCAUAGAUAGUUAUCUCAUUUUCCCCAUUAAGGCUUGGUUUCAGUUCAGAAUUCCUCUAGAAGGUUUCAUGGUUACUGCAGUGUAUAAAGGAAGAACCCUGCACUCCAGCUCACAGGCUGGGAAACAAACUGAAGUUGUUUGAUUUUUACAGUUUAUCAUUAAUUGAAAAGGAAACGAAAUGUGCUUCUCUGUCACAGACAGAUUUCCCUUUAUAUCAAGCAGUCACUUUCAUUUUUUUAUCCUGUCCCCCAAUUUCAGUAAGAAAAACAGAGGUUAUGAGAACUCCCUAUUCAAACAUGUACACUGAAUGAAAUCAUUUUUCUGUUGUUUGGCUAAAGUAUGGACACUGGGGAAUUUUAUUGCUUCUAGUCUGCUUCAGAUGAACAAACUAGAUAACCCUGCUAGCACUAUCUUUAAAACAAAAUAAACAACUUA